This 835-nucleotide ribosomal RNA is filed under the name uncultured marine bacterium. RNAcentral's name for it is "bacterial SSU rRNA". It matches the Rfam family "Bacterial small subunit ribosomal RNA", at positions 57 to 940 of the family's 1533-position model. The record is from RNAcentral.
GCAAGUCGAACGAAGUAGCAAUACUUAGUGGCAGACGGGUGAGUAACAUGUGGGUAUCUACCCUUUGGCCUGGAAUAACACGAGGAAACUUGUGCUAAUACCGGAUAAGUCUUUACGGAGAAAGCUUUAUGCACCAUUGGAUGAGCCUGCACUUGAUUAGUUUGUUGGUGGGGUAAUGGCCUACCAAGACUUUGAUCAAUAACUGAUUUGAGAGGAUGAUCAGCCACAUUGGGACUGAGACACGGCCCAAACUCCUACGGGAGGCAGCAGUGGGGAAUCUUGCACAAUGGAGGAAACUCUGAUGCAGCGAUGCCGCGUGAGUGAAGAAGGCCCUUGGGUUGUAAAGCUCUUUCGUCGGGGAAGAAAAUGACUGUACCCGAAUAAGAAGGUCCGGCUAACUUCGUGCCAGCAGCCGCGGUAAUACGAAGGGACCUAGCGUAGUUCGGAAUUACUGGGCUUAAAGAGUUCGUAGGUGGUUGAAAAAGUUGGUGGUGAAAUCCCAGAGCUUAACUCUGGAACUGCCAUCAAAACUUUUCAGCUAGAGUUUGAUAGAGGAAAGCAGAAUUUCUAGUGUAGAGGUGAAAUUCGUAGAUAUUAGAAAGAAUACCAAUUGCGAAGGCAGCUUUCUGGAUCGUUACUGACACUGAGGAACGAAAGCAUGGGUAGCGAAGAGGAUUAGAUACCCUCGUAGUCCAUGCCGUAAACGAUGAGUGUUAGACGUUGGAAGUUUAUUUUCAGUGUCGCAGCGAAAGCGAUAAACACACCGCCUGGGGAGUACGACCGCAAGGUUAAAACUCAAAUGAAUUGACGGGGACCCGCACAAGUAGUGGAGCAU